GAAUUGUUCGCAAUGGGCGCAAGCCUGACGACGCAACGCCGCGUGGAGGAUGAAGAUUUUCGGAUCGUAAACUCCUGUCGAAUGGGACGAACAGAUCGCGGGUAAACAGCCCGUGGUCCUGACGGUACCGUUAAAGGAAACCCCGGCUAACUCCGUGCCCGCAGCCGCGGUAAUACGGGGGGGGUAAGCGUUGUUCGGAAUUACUGGGCGUAAAGGGCUCGUAGGCGGCCAACUAAGUCAUACGUGAAAUCCCUCAGCUUAACUGGGGAACUGCGUGUGAUACUGGAUGGCUUGGAUUUGGGAGAGGGAUGCGGAAUUCCAGGUGUAGCGGUGAAAUGCGUAGAUAUCUGGAGGAACACCGGUGGCGAAGGCGGCAUCCUGGACCAAUAUUGACGCUGAGGAGCGAAAGCCAGGGGAGCAAACGGG
Molecule: ribosomal RNA, 426 nt
Filed under: uncultured bacterium
Lineage: Bacteria
Description: bacterial SSU rRNA
Rfam family: Bacterial small subunit ribosomal RNA
Source: RNAcentral